UCAAGAAACUUCCACAAUGGGCGAAAGCCUGAUGGAGCGACGUCGCGUGAUGGACGAAGUGCUUCGGCACGUAAACAUCUUUUAUGUGGGAUGAAAUUAUUGACAGUACCACAUGAAUAAGGGGCUCCUAACUCUGUGCCAGCAGGAGCGGUAAUACAGGGGGUGCGAGCGUUAAUCGGAAUUACUGGGCGUAAAGGGCGCGUAGGCGGUCGAGUAAGUCGGAUGUGAAAUCCCCGGGCUUAACCUGGGAAUUGCAUUCGAUACUGCUUGGCUAGAGUGUGGAAGAGGGAAGCGGAAUUUCCGGUGUAGCGGUGAAAUGCGUAGAUAUCGGAAGGAACACCAGUGGCGAAGGCGGCUUCCUGGUCCAACACUGACGCUGAGGCGCGAAAGCGUGGGGAGCAAACAGGAUUAGAUACCCCGGUAGUCCCUGAGCGGGCUGGCAAGGCGCAU
RNAcentral lists this ribosomal RNA (450 nucleotides) under uncultured bacterium. Its description in RNAcentral is "bacterial SSU rRNA". It matches the Rfam family "Bacterial small subunit ribosomal RNA", at positions 355 to 825 of the family's 1533-position model. The record is from RNAcentral.